AACGUAGGACACAAGCGUUAUCCGGAGUUACUGGGCGUAAAGGGCGCGUAGGCGGCCUUCUAAGUCGAACGUGAAAUCCCCGGGCUCAACCCGGGAACUGCGUCCGAUACUGGAAGGCUUGAAUCCGGGAGAGGGAUGUGGAAUUCCAGGUGUAGCGGUGAAAUGCGUAGAUAUCUGGAGGAACACCGGUGGCGAAGGCGACAUCCUGGACCGGUAUUGACGCUGAGGCGCGAAAGCCAGGGGAGCAAACGGG
RNAcentral lists this ribosomal RNA (253 nucleotides) under uncultured bacterium. RNAcentral describes it as "partial 16S ribosomal RNA". It matches the Rfam family "Bacterial small subunit ribosomal RNA", at positions 524 to 776 of the family's 1533-position model. The record is from RNAcentral.